Molecule: non-coding RNA, 184 nt
Filed under: Bacillota bacterium
Lineage: Bacteria; Bacillati; Bacillota
Also listed under: 2 other names
Description: 6S RNA
Rfam family: 6S / SsrS RNA
About the family: E. coli 6S RNA was the first non coding RNA to be sequenced, but its function was unknown until recently. It consists of 184 nucleotides that fold into an extended hairpin structure with a large single-stranded internal bulge.
Source: RNAcentral
AAAUCCCUGCUGUGUGCGAUUCAGGCUGUAUUUUUUGAGCCAACAAAGAUGAAUCGGGAGCCCAGUCUCCGACGGCAUAAAAUAAGCCCUAAAGAUUAUAGGGGACAUUUGAAGUCGCCGGGCAGGCACCCACCUGCGGAAGCAGGUUCAAAAAAUGCGGUUAAAACGGCACGGCGGGGGUAUU